GGGUUGUGAGGUUAAGCGACUAAGCGUACACGGUGGAUGCCCUGGCAGUCAGAGGCGAUGAAGGACGUGCUAAUCUGCGAUAAGCGUCGGUAAGGUGAUAUGAACCGUUAUAACCGGCGAUUUCCGAAUGGGGAAACCCAGUGUGUUUCGACACACUAUCAUUAACUGAAUCCAUAGGUUAAUGAGGCGAACCGGGGGAACUGAAACAUCUAAGUACCCCGAGGAAAAGAAAUCAACCGAGAUUCCCCCAGUAGCGGCGAGCGAACGGGGAGCAGCCCAGAGCCUGAAUCAGUGUGUGUGUUAGUGGAAGCGUCUGGAAAGGCGCGCGAUACAGGGUGACAGCCCCGUACACAAAAAUGCACAUGCUGUGAGCUCGAUGAGUAGGGCGGGACACGUGGUAUCCUGUCUGAAUAUGGGGGGACCAUCCUCCAAGGCUAAAUACUCCUGACUGACCGAUAGUGAACCAGUACCGUGAGGGAAAGGCGAAAAGAACCCCGGCGAGGGGAGUGAAAAAGAACCUGAAACCGUGUACGUACAAGCAGUGGGAGCCUCUUUAUGGGGUGACUGCGUACCUUUUGUAUAAUGGGUCAGCGACUUAUAUUCUGUAGCAAGGUUAACCGAAUAGGGGAGCCGAAGGGAAACCGAGUCUUAACUGGGCGUUAAGUUGCAGGGUAUAGACCCGAAACCCGGUGAUCUAGCCAUGGGCAGGUUGAAGGUUGGGUAACACUAACUGGAGGACCGAACCGACUAAUGUUGAAAAAUUAGCGGAUGACUUGUGGCUGGGGGUGAAAGGCCAAUCAAACCGGGAGAUAGCUGGUUCUCCCCGAAAGCUAUUUAGGUAGCGCCUCGUGAAUUCAUCUCCGGGGGUAGAGCACUGUUUCGGCAAGGGGGUCAUCCCGACUUACCAACCCGAUGCAAACUGCGAAUACCGGAGAAUGUUAUCACGGGAGACACACGGCGGGUGCUAACGUCCGUCGUGAAGAGGGAAACAACCCAGACCGCCAGCUAAGGUCCCAAAGUCAUGGUUAAGUGGGAAACGAUGUGGGAAGGCCCAGACAGCCAGGAUGUUGGCUUAGAAGCAGCCAUCAUUUAAAGAAAGCGUAAUAGCUCACUGGUCGAGUCGGCCUGCGCGGAAGAUGUAACGGGGCUAAACCAUGCACCGAAGCUGCGGCAGCGACGCUUAUGCGUUGUUGGGUAGGGGAGCGUUCUGUAAGCCUGUGAAGGUGUGCUGUGAGGCAUGCUGGAGGUAUCAGAAGUGCGAAUGCUGACAUAAGUAACGAUAAAGCGGGUGAAAAGCCCGCUCGCCGGAAGACCAAGGGUUCCUGUCCAACGUUAAUCGGGGCAGGGUGAGUCGACCCCUAAGGCGAGGCCGAAAGGCGUAGUCGAUGGGAAACAGGUUAAUAUUCCUGUACUUGGUGUUACUGCGAAGGGGGGACGGAGAAGGCUAUGUUGGCCGGGCGACGGUUGUCCCGGUUUAAGCGUGUAGGCUGGUUUUCCAGGCAAAUCCGGAAAAUCAAGGCUGAGGCGUGAUGACGAGGCACUACGGUGCUGAAGCAACAAAUGCCCUGCUUCCAGGAAAAGCCUCUAAGCAUCAGGUAACAUCAAAUCGUACCCCAAACCGACACAGGUGGUCAGGUAGAGAAUACCAAGGCGCUUGAGAGAACUCGGGUGAAGGAACUAGGCAAAAUGGUGCCGUAACUUCGGGAGAAGGCACGCUGAUAUGUAGGUGAAGUCCCUCGCGGAUGGAGCUGAAAUCAGUCGAAGAUACCAGCUGGCUGCAACUGUUUAUUAAAAACACAGCACUGUGCAAACACGAAAGUGGACGUAUACGGUGUGACGCCUGCCCGGUGCCGGAAGGUUAAUUGAUGGGGUUAGCGCAAGCGAAGCUCUUGAUCGAAGCCCCGGUAAACGGCGGCCGUAACUAUAACGGUCCUAAGGUAGCGAAAUUCCUUGUCGGGUAAGUUCCGACCUGCACGAAUGGCGUAAUGAUGGCCAGGCUGUCUCCACCCGAGACUCAGUGAAAUUGAACUCGCUGUGAAGAUGCAGUGUACCCGCGGCAAGACGGAAAGACCCCGUGAACCUUUACUAUAGCUUGACACUGAACAUUGAGCCUUGAUGUGUAGGAUAGGUGGGAGGCUUUGAAGUGUGGACGCCAGUCUGCAUGGAGCCGACCUUGAAAUACCACCCUUUAAUGUUUGAUGUUCUAACGUUGACCCGUAAUCCGGGUUGCGGACAGUGUCUGGUGGGUAGUUUGACUGGGGCGGUCUCCUCCUAAAGAGUAACGGAGGAGCACGAAGGUUGGCUAAUCCUGGUCGGACAUCAGGAGGUUAGUGCAAUGGCAUAAGCCAGCUUGACUGCGAGCGUGACGGCGCGAGCAGGUGCGAAAGCAGGUCAUAGUGAUCCGGUGGUUCUGAAUGGAAGGGCCAUCGCUCAACGGAUAAAAGGUACUCCGGGGAUAACAGGCUGAUACCGCCCAAGAGUUCAUAUCGACGGCGGUGUUUGGCACCUCGAUGUCGGCUCAUCACAUCCUGGGGCUGAAGUAGGUCCCAAGGGUAUGGCUGUUCGCCAUUUAAAGUGGUACGCGAGCUGGGUUUAGAACGUCGUGAGACAGUUCGGUCCCUAUCUGCCGUGGGCGCUGGAGAACUGAGGGGGGCUGCUCCUAGUACGAGAGGACCGGAGUGGACGCAUCACUGGUGUUCGGGUUGUCAUGCCAAUGGCACUGCCCGGUAGCUAAAUGCGGAAGAGAUAAGUGCUGAAAGCAUCUAAGCACGAAACUUGCCCCGAGAUGAGUUCUCCCUGACCCUUUAAGGGUCCUGAAGGAACGUUGAAGACGACGACGUUGAUAGGCCGGGUGUGUAAGCGCAGCGAUGCGUUGAGCUAACCGGUACUAAUGAACCGUGAGGCUUAACCUUACAACGCCGAAG
Molecule: ribosomal RNA, 2924 nt
Filed under: Escherichia coli
Lineage: Bacteria; Pseudomonadati; Pseudomonadota; Gammaproteobacteria; Enterobacterales; Enterobacteriaceae
Description: 23S ribosomal RNA
Rfam family: Bacterial large subunit ribosomal RNA
Source: RNAcentral